GACGAACGCUGGCGGCGUGCUUAACACAUGCAAGUCGAACGGAAAGGCCCUGCUUUUGUGGGGUGCUCGAGUGGCGAACGGGUGAGUAACACGUGAGUAACCUGCCCUUGACUUUGGGAUAACUUCAGGAAACUGGGGCUAAUACCGGAUAGGAGCUCCUGCUGCAUGGUGGGGGUUGGAAAGUUUCGGCGGUUGGGGAUGGACUCGCGGCUUAUCAGCUUGUUGGUGGGGUAGUGGCUUACCAAGGCUUUGACGGGUAGCCGGCCUGAGAGGGUGACCGGCCACAUUGGGACUGAGAUACGGCCCAGACUCCUACGGGAGGCAGCAGUGGGGAAUAUGACACAGUGGGAGGAAGCCUGAUGCAGCAACGCCGCGUGCGGGAUGACGGCCUGCGGGUUGUGAACCGCUUUCGCCUGUGACGAAGCGUGAGUGACGGUAAUGGGUGAAGAAGCACCGGCUAACUACGUG
Molecule: ribosomal RNA, 468 nt
Filed under: uncultured bacterium
Lineage: Bacteria
Description: partial 16S ribosomal RNA
Rfam family: Bacterial small subunit ribosomal RNA
Source: RNAcentral